RNAcentral lists this ribosomal RNA (904 nucleotides) under uncultured archaeon. RNAcentral describes it as "bacterial SSU rRNA". It matches the Rfam family "Archaeal small subunit ribosomal RNA", at positions 1 to 919 of the family's 1478-position model. The record is from RNAcentral.
UCUGGUUGAUCCCGCCGGAGGCUAUUGCUAUCUGGGUUCGACUAAGACAUGCGAGCUGCGAGGGGUACCCUCGGCGAACUGCUCUGUAAUACGUGGUCAACUUACCGUUAGCAGGGGGAUAAUGUCGCGAAAGUGACGCUAAUACCCCAUAGUUAUAGAUUUCUGGAAUGAGUCUAUAGCAAAAGCUACGGUGGCUCGAUAGGACUGCGGUCUAUCAGGCUGUUGUUUGUGUAAUGAACAAACAAACCGAUAACGGAUACGGGCUAUGGAAGUAGGAGCCCGGAGAUGGAUUCUGAGACAUGAAUCCAGGUACUACGGUACGCAGCAGUUGCGAAAACUUUACAAUUGGCUAACGCCAGAUAAGGGAACCUGGAGUGUUCUUUUUUUUACAAGACUUUUGCUUUCUGCAAACAGGAGAGUGAAUAAGGGGUGGGUAAGACGGGUGCCAGCCACCGCGGUAAUACCCGCACCCCGAGUGAUAGCCACGAUUAUUGGGUCUAAAGCGUCCGUAGCCGGUUUAACAAGUCCCUGGUGAAAUUUUACGGCAAACCGAAAGCUUGCUGGGGAUACUGCUAGACUUGAGACCGGGAAAGGGUAGGGGUACUCCUGGGGUAGGGGUGAAAUCCUGUAAUCCUAGGGGGACCACCUGUGGCGAAGGCGCCUACCUGGAACGGGUCUGACGGUGAGGGACGAAAGCUAGGGGAGCAAUCGGGAUUAGAUACCCCGGUAGUCCUAGCCGUAAACGUUGCCCUCUUGGUGUUGCAGGCUUCUCGGGAGCUUGCAGUGCCGGAGCGUACGUGUUAAGAGGGCCACCUGGGAAGUACAGCCGCAAGGCUGAAACUUAAGGGAAUUGGCGGGGGAGCACACAAAGGGUGGGCGUUGCGGUUUAAAUGGAUUCAACGCC